Molecule: small nuclear RNA, 95 nt
Filed under: Tupaia belangeri chinensis (Chinese tree shrew)
Lineage: Eukaryota; Metazoa; Chordata; Mammalia; Scandentia; Tupaiidae
Source: RNAcentral
GUACUCACUUUGGCAGCCCAUGGACUAAAAUUGGAAUAAUACAGAGGCUCCUGUGCAAGGAUGACAUGCAAAUUUAUGAGGUGUUCCACAUUUAA